UGGGGAAUAUUGCACAAUGGGCGCAAGCCUGAUGCAGCAACGCCGCGUGAACGAUGAAGGUCUUCGGAUCGUAAAGUUCUGUUGCAGGGGAAGAUAAUGACGGUACCCUGUGAGGAAGCCCCGGCUAACUACGUGCCAGCAGCCGCGGUAAUACGUAGGGGGCUAGCGUUAUCCGGAUUUACUGGGCGUAAAGGGUGCGUAGGUGGUCUUUCAAGUCGGUGGUUAAAGGCUACGGCUCAACCGUAGUUAGCCUCCGAAACUGGAAGACUUGAGUGCAGGAGAGGAAAGUGGAAUUCCCAGUGUAGCGGUGAAAUGCGUAGAUAUUGGGAGGAACACCAGUAGCGAAGGCGGCUUUCUGGGCUGCGACUGACACUGAGGCACGAAAGCGUGGGUAGCAAACAGG
This 403-nucleotide ribosomal RNA is filed under the name Verrucomicrobiota bacterium. RNAcentral's name for it is "Verrucomicrobia bacterium partial 16S ribosomal RNA". It matches the Rfam family "Bacterial small subunit ribosomal RNA", at positions 355 to 776 of the family's 1533-position model. The record is from RNAcentral. Lineage: Bacteria; Pseudomonadati; Verrucomicrobiota.